GCAGUCGAGGGGUAUUGGUUUUCGGACCAGAGACCGGCGCACGGGUGCGUAACGCGUAUGCAAUCUACCUUUCACAGAGGGAUAGCCCAGAGAAAUUUGGAUUAAUACCUCAUAGUAUUGCGGAAUGGCAUCAUUUUGUAAUUAAAGUCACAACGGUGAAAGAUGAGCAUGCGUCCCAUUAGCUAGUUGGUAAGGUAACGGCUUACCAAGGCUACGAUGGGUAGGGGUCCUGAGAGGGAGAUCCCCCACACUGGUACUGAGACACGGACCAGACUCCUACGGGAGGCAGCAGUGAGGAAUAUUGGACAAUGGGCGCAAGCCUGAUCCAGCCAUGCCGCGUGCAGGAUGACGGUCCUAUGGAUUGUAAACUGCUUUUGCACAGGAAGAAACAACAUUACGUGUAAUGUCUUGACGGUACUGUGAGAAUAAGGAUCGGCUAACUCCGUGCCAGCAGCCGCGGUAAUACGGAGGAUCCAAGCGUUAUCCGGAAUCAUUGGGUUUAAAGGGUCCGUAGGCGGUUUAGUAAGUCAGUGGUGAAAGCCCAUCGCUCAACGGUGGAACGGCCAUUGAUACUGCUAGACUUGAAUUAUUAGGAAGUAACUAGAAUAUGUAGUGUAGCGGUGAAAUGCUUAGAGAUUACAUGGAAUACCAAUUGCGAAGGCAGGUUACUACUAAUGGAUUGACGCUGAUGGACGAAAGCGUGGGUAGCGAACAGGAUUAGAUACCCUGGUAGUCCACGCCGUANACGAUGGAUACUAGCUGUUGGGAGCGAUCUCAGUGGCUAAGCGAAAGUGAUAAGUAUCCCACCUGGGGAGUACGUUCGCAAGAAUGAAACUCAAAGGAAUUGACGGGGGCCCGCACAAGCGGUGGAGCAUGUGGUUUAAUUCGAUGAUACGCGAGGAACCUUA
Molecule: ribosomal RNA, 908 nt
Filed under: uncultured bacterium
Lineage: Bacteria
Description: bacterial SSU rRNA
Rfam family: Bacterial small subunit ribosomal RNA
Source: RNAcentral